UAUAUAUGUACAAAUUAUUUUGUUUUCUGCAUUUCACUUCUGCUCUAGCUUGCUUCCUUUAAAAUAAACUUGCCUGUAUACUACAUAUUGGCUCUGUGAUAAAUGGCAUGUUAUGUUUCUAUAUUCUUCUACGAUGAUGGCAGUUCAGCAGAGUUGGAGCAGACCUCCUGUCGGACAACAUCUCUAAGGCGCUAUGAACCAUAUGACUGGAUCUUGUGAGAAGUACUUCAUCUGGUUUUGUAAAUAAAUACUUUUGCAUUUCAUCUUCACCUCCCGAGUCUUUCUGGUAGAAAUGGGAACGUCAGCGCAGAUACUGCCGCGAAGUUUCCCCUCCAUCCUCUCCACCACCACCAGGUUGGCUCUGUCCAUGCGGGGGUAUGCUCUGCUCUUAGUCUUUGGCAGGAAUAGCUGAAAUCUACAACGUCUGAUUCAAGCUACAGAUGGGGCCUACGCCAAAAUAAUUUUGUUCUUUUUGUAUUGGUUUUGUAAAUAAAUUCUUUUGCAUUUUAUCUUCACCUCCUGAGUCUUUCUGGUAGAAAUGUAAAAUUCUUUUAAAAGAAAAAUAAAAAACAGCAAAUCGGCAUAUUAAAAUGAUUUCUGAAGGAUUAUAUGACACUGAAGACUGGAGUAAUGAUACUGAAAAUUCAGCUUUUUAUCACAGGAAUAAAUUGCAAUUUACAGCAUAUUAAAAUAGACAACAGUUCUUUCCAUUUGUAAUGAUAUUUUACAAUAUUAAUAUUUUCUCUAUUAUUGAUUAAAAGAAUGAAGACUUUGUGAGCAGAAAAUAUUUUUGUUUGUUUGUUUUUAAAAACAAUGUAAUGUUUCCAAAAUUUUGACAGGUACUGUAUAACAUUGUUACCAUUGUUGCCUAUUGCUUAAAUACCAUUAAUUGGAUGCAUUUGUGGCCCAGGAUGCUGGGAUAGUCUUCAGCCCCCACGACCCUAGAGAGGAUAAGUGGUUUGGAGAGUGAAUAGGUGGAUGGAUGAACUUCCAAAAUUCUUUGACUUGCUUUGAUUUUGUUUCUUUUCUUACUGCUGUUCAGCUUAAAACUACCUUUCCAUUAUCUUUGUUUGUCAUUUUGCAUCAAUAUGUGCUAAACCUAUGAAAAUUAAGAAACAAAUGAAAGUGUCUUUUUUUGUUGUUGUUUUUUGUUACAG
This is a long non-coding RNA of Cyprinus carpio carpio, 1157 nucleotides long. NCBI's taxonomy places the organism in Eukaryota, Metazoa, Chordata, Actinopteri, Cypriniformes, Cyprinidae. The record is from Ensembl.